Molecule: non-coding RNA, 21 nt
Filed under: Caenorhabditis elegans
Lineage: Eukaryota; Metazoa; Nematoda; Chromadorea; Rhabditida; Rhabditidae
Source: RNAcentral
UAAUCAAUUUAAAUAGCUAAA